Molecule: ribosomal RNA, 217 nt
Filed under: Cystococcus campanidorsalis
Lineage: Eukaryota; Metazoa; Arthropoda; Insecta; Hemiptera; Eriococcidae
Description: partial small subunit ribosomal RNA
Source: RNAcentral
UCAUAUGCUUGUCUCAAAGAUUAAGCCAUGCAUGUCUCAGUGCAAGCCGUCCAGAACGGUGAAACCGCGAAAGGCUCAUUAAAUCAGUUAUGGUUCCUUAGAUUGUGCCCCACACUUACUUGGAUAACUGUGGCAAUUCUAGAGCUAAUACAUGCUUACUGAGUUCCGACGGGCGUUGCAGGCAGUUCACGCUGUCUCGCKGCRUUCGGCAGGAACG